This is a long non-coding RNA of Poecile atricapillus (Black-capped chickadee), 5993 nucleotides long. RefSeq lists it as uncharacterized. The record is from RefSeq and is a predicted model, not a curated record. NCBI's taxonomy places the organism in Eukaryota, Metazoa, Chordata, Aves, Passeriformes, Paridae. The transcript has 7 exons.
GGUCACGUGAGGGCCGGGGGAGUUGGAGCGAUGGCGGCGGAGUCCGAUCCCUGUGGCUCCUGUCCCCACUACUCCCAACCACCUUCACUCCAUCCAUCAAAGUCCCACUUAGUCUCUUCACUGUGAACUUUGGAAAGAAUGAAAGAAAGGAUGCGUUGUCAGUUGACCCUGGAUGGAUGCCAGGCACCCACCAAAUCUGCUCUCUCACUCCCCUCCAGAUGGACAGGAGAGACGAAAUAGAAUAAAGGCUUCAUGGGUUGAGAUAAGGACUGGGACAGAUCACGCAGCAAAUGCCAUCAUAGGAAAAACAGCUUGGGGAGAGGAGUUGUUCCCCUGUUGUGCCAGGGGUCCCUCUUGGAGACGCUUCUCCAUUAACUUAUCCAAGGCAUUGCCACCAUUUCUAACUGGCCCAGCCUUGGCCAGUGGCCGGUCUGUCUUGAAGCCAGCUGGUGUUGACUCUGCAGGACAUGGAGGAGCAGCUGCUUCAAGCAGCCUGUCACAGAAGGUACUCCUAAAGUCCCCCUUUACCAAAACCUGGCAAGGGAAACCUAGAAUAAGUAUGUGACCCAGUGACCCAACACCUGUGUGCUGCACUCUGACAUCUUUUAUCCAAUCACUUACUACCACCCAAAAACCCCUAGGAGAAGAACAUGAAGAAGAAAGAAGAAGGACAAGAGACAACACCCUAAAUCCUCCAUCUUGUCUCCUGUUCUCUAAACUAACUUUUUCACCCAGUGAUUUAAGAAACUUUCUAAUCUACACACUUACACUUCUAGCUUUUUCUAUCUAACUUUAACAUUUGUUUUCAUGUAUCACUAUGAAAACAUGCUGUCACGAUCCGCAAGGUGGGAUUCGUGAUGUGGUUCUUUUAGUCGGUCUUAGAGUACAAAAGAUUAUCAGCAAACCAAGGACUUAAACAGCAAAACACACUUUAUUGAGUGCUCAUCAGCACUAAUAUGCGAUAGAGAGAGAGAAAGAAGAAAGCAAAGCAUAAGGAAAAGAGAGUAAGGGGAUUAUAGCUACCAACGUCGAAGUCCACUCAGCCGUCCAACGAUGCAGAGUCUUCUGUCCGUUGGGGAGAUCUCAAAGGAAGGUAAGUUUGGGGUAUUAUUUUAUAGUCUUUUGCAAAGCGAGGGGCGCAGGGCCAAAAACAGAGGAGAUUGAUGAGCAUUGUGAUGAAUUCCAUUGCGCAGGGGACAGGUGUAGGGUACAGAGCGAUCCAUGUCGUGCAAGUCUUUGCUCACCAGCAGGAAUGAGAGCCAUGAGUCGUGGAAAACCCGCUGCGCAGGUUACCAAGCCUCUGCUCACCAGCAGGAAUGAGAGCAGUGUACUGUGCAACCACCUGCAAACAAUCACUUAGCAAACAUCCACCUCACCUAGGCCCAAACCCCCAAGCCAAGUCCCUUGUGAUAUUCAGGGUCUCAGUCUCUGUCCUUGAGACGGUUGUGAGACAGAUGAGGGAAUCUUCAGACCAUCUCUUACACAUGCUCAUGAAUUUCAUAUUAUAUGAAAUUCAGUGUUUUUCUAGAGCCUAGAGCUAAGUAUUAGAAACAAGGGCACACACUCUGUAUCUCAGACUCCAACAUCUAACAUUGUUGACUUUCUCAGCUUCUGUUAAUAUUUGUGAAUAUUUGAAUUGCAAGAUUCUGUAAUCAGCUUUCCGCUUUGUUCUUAGAUUUCUUAAUGGUGUGUCAGAACUGAAUGUAGGAUUUUGGGUGGGACCGCUUCAGUCUGAGAUGGAAUUGUCUCAGCAGCAGCUGGUUUUGCACAUCUGAGCAGAGAUAACAAGGAUUCAAUGAAAUUAAUAUUCUGCCUUGUUGCACAACCUGCAGUGGUUGGCUGGAGGGGGCAGUGGUGGGAGCUUCAUUCCAGCACAGUCCAAUCUAGAUUACACUAACAUAUGAAACCAAUUAGACCAUGAUCUUUUAAAUACACAUAAAAAUACACAUAGUUUUACUACCACAACUAGCCCCACUAACAGCAGUAAUUUUAACCAUAUACAUCUAUGUGAUCAUGACACUAGCAGGAUCUGGUAAAAGGGAUGAACUGGUAACAUUACCCCACCUGAUCUGUAUUGGGAAUUCAAUAAACUUUCAAAGUCCCUAAAAUUAUGAAAAUAAAUUUUUAAAACAAGUAAAUCCAAAACCCAAGCUAAAAACAAGAGUAUGAAAAAUAAGAGCAGUUACCUAAUAUGAAAGUACUCCAUGAGAUGAGGGGUGGGGUAAUGGCCGGAGCCCCCGGCAAGGGGCUGGCACUGGACACUGACCCUUUGCUGAGCAGGGGCUCGGGGCCCUGUGGCGCCUGGCGGGAGCUGGGAAGAGCGAGAGAGCCGGGCUAAACAUCAGCACUGGGGCGGGCACGGACUCGGAGGGAGGCGGCACUGCCGGAGGGGGCCCGCAGAGCCUCCCUGCUCCAAAGUCCCGCGUGUGACAGCGGGCAGCGGCCGGGAUCUUUGGGGCAGGGAGGAGCCGGAGGCGGGCGUUCCAAUUGGCUCCAAGUUUGGAGCCGGAUUUUGUCCCAAUGAGGGGCAAUUCCCGUGGUUGCUGAGCGCCGCCGCCGUCUUUCCUCACGAGCCUCCGGGCAGAGCUCUGUGCUCGGGGCCAAGGGCCGAGCUCCCGUCCGGAGGCUCCGAGACGGCGGAAUUUCGGGGAGUCCCGGUGUUGGCUGCCAGCAGAGCCCCAGCGCUGGGCCGGGGGAUGCGUGGGACCCUCCCGCGGUGGGGGUUGGGCUGCCCGACUCAGGCGCUGCAUUGUCAGGACAGGGCCACGUGGCGAUCACCCGGAAUUCCAGUUCCCAAAGUUUAGCCAGAUGGAGGAGGAGGCUACAAGGAAGAGGAAGAUGCCCGGACACUGAGACAGGCAAGGAGCUGAGGACAGAGAACAGGGAGGAGAAAUCCUUGCAACAGAACCUCGUGGAAGAGGCCAUUUUGAGCAGCUCCACAGCUCAGGAAUCCAGCAGGGAGGAAAAGUCCCGGAGAUCCUGCAUGAGGAGGGGCUGCAAAUACAGGACUUGAAGAAACAGUAAGUAGAGUUUGCAGGCAACACUAAAUUGGAAGGAAGUGCUGACUCCCUCAAGGGCAGAGAUCUUAACAAAUCCAAGAGAUGGGCAAUCAUCAACCAUAGGAAGUUUAAGAAGGCUGAAGGAACUUGCAGGACACCUCAUAGCAGCCUUCAGCUUCCUCCUGAGGGGCAGUGGUGGGGCAGGCACCAAUCUCUGAGCUCUGCUGACCUGUGACAAGACCUGAGUGGAUGGCUUGAAGCUGUGCCAGGGCAGAGUCAGGCUGGAGAUUAGGAAGAUUCUUCCCCCAGAGGGUGAUUGGGCACUGCGUGGCUCCCAUGGGAAUGGUCGUCGCCCCAAGGCUGCCAGAGCUCCAGGAGCAUUUGGACAGUGCUUUCAGGAACAGACUGGGAUUGUUGGGGUGUCCUGUGCAGAGCCAGCAGAUGGACUUGAUGAUCCUUGUGCAUCCUUCCAGUUCAGGAUAUUCCAUUAUUCACUGAAAAUCACUGGAGGAAGUGCCAUGUGCUAAACCACCAAGGGCAGUUCCUGGCUUCUGGGAGAGAAGCAGACACCACCUGCCUGCUUUGCUGCUUGAGAUCCCCAUGAAAACAUUUUGGGUUUCUAUGUUCUGAAAGGUGGCACUGCCUGCAUAGCAGUGCCUUCAGUUUACCACUCUUUGUGUCUGGAGUUGACCCAGGAAUGUCCCAUGGUAGCGUGCUCCAUUCCUACAGUCACUUCCAUACCAGGACCAGACCUGGAGUGUGGGGAGCAAGCUCCAGAUCCAAGCACCAUCUUCUCAGACCACAGAAUAUUAAAGCAUCUCCUUGGGAUUGCCAGAGGAAGGGGAAAUUUGGGGCAAGGGGGGGACACAGCAACACCCCAAAAAGCCCCCCAAAAUGUCCCUCUGCCCUCCCCAAACCAGCCCAUGUUUACCCAUAAAGUGGCUUCAAACUGCCCCAUAACUUUUGCAUGGGGUGGAGGGAGGCAUCAGGACCAUUCCCCCACCUUCCCUGUGUCUUAGCAGCUCUGUGCCCAACCGGGAGGAAGAAUGGGGCUGGGGGUGUGUGGGGGGGUCUCCCUGUUGGAAAUGAUACAACUUCAACAUUUUCAUAAUUUAAAAUUCACCGUAUAACCCAUCAGCCCCCAAACCAUCCCCAUCACCCUCCACCCAUCAUCAUAACCCCAAAGUUCAUCACUGCCCACCCAUCACCCCAUAUCACCCCCCCAUCAUCAUCAUCACCCCAAAAUUCAUCAGCCCCCACCCAUCACCCUACCAACUGUCCCCAUAAUCCCCCAAUCCAUCAUAAUCAGCCCAGAAUUCACCACCCCCACCCAUCUUCAUCACCUGCACCUAUCACCCCAUAACCCAUCACCCCCUUAACCAUCCCCAGAACCCCCCACCAUCAUCAUCCCAAAUGUCAUCACUCCCCCACCCACAAUCACCCCAAAAUCCAUGCCCCACCCCAUAACCCCUUCCCCCCCACUCCAUGCUCCCCUCUCCUGCCCCUUCCUGCGUCCCCAGCUCUGCCCUGGCUCUGCUGUCACCAUGUCCCCCUCUCCUGCCCAGUGGUGCAGGUACCGCUGCAGGGGUGGCCUCAUCCCCUCGCAUCCCCUCAGGUCUCUGCGGCUCCUUGGACACCUUGGAGGGGGCGGAAAACACCGUCUGGAACAGCGACCAGUGCUCGCUGGCCUUGGGGACACCCCUGUCACUACCCUUGUCGCCAUUGGUGUCGGGGUGGCUGUCGGAGCGUUACCAGCCCUGCAGCCAUGUCCAGCACUGGCUCCCUGGGGACACCCCGCUCCUUUUGGGGUCCCCUCCAGUGCGCCACUUGUAGGUCUUCAGUAGGGUGGGGGGCUCGGGGGUGGCCGGGCCUGGCUUCCACCUCCAUGUGUGGUGGGAGAGAGUCAGUUUUGGGGGCUUCAGAGGGUAGAUUUAGAGGGUGGUGGGAAGGGGAGAAUCAUUUGGGGGGAUCCAUGGGGUGGAUUUGGGGGCGGUUAAUUUGGGGGGAGUAAUUUUGGGGGUUGGAUUUGGGGGGUGGUGGGAUGAGGGGAGUCACUUUGGGUAGUCCAUGGGCUAGAUUUGGGGUUGGUAGGAUUGGGAGAAUCAUUUUGGGGGUUGAAUUUGCGAUUGAUCGGAUGGGGAGAAUAAUUUUGAUGACUCCAGGGCUGGAUUUGGGGGUGAUGGGAUGGGGAGAAGCAUUUUGGGGUUGGAUUUGGGGUUGGUGGGACAGGAGAGGCAUUUUGGGGGCUGAAUUUGGGAAUGAUGGGAUGAGGAGAAUAAUUUGUGGGGGUCCAGGGACUGGAUUUGGAGGUGGAGAGGCACCCACAACCUGGCAUCCCCACUUUGAAGGGUCCCAAUUUAUGAGGUCCCAAAUCCCUGAGGUGUCCCUGCCCACCCAGGGGUCCCAGUUUUUUGAGUUCUCCUGCCCACCCAGGGGUCCUCAUCCAGUGGGUGCCCCCACAGCCCCGACCCCUGCUGGGAACAAGGGGACAGGGGAACAAGUGCCCCAGGUGCAGGUGGGACUGGAGGCGUUUCCGUCCAAACUUCCCCUACACCCUGCCUGCACCCUGGGACCCCACUUCACCCUCCCUUUGACACCUGCUCAGACGGGGGGCUUGGUGCCACCAGAGGACCCCUUCUCUGUGAUGUUCCCGAGGUGACACCUGCACUUUUUGACACCACCACCCACCAGUUUGUCACCAGCUCCCCAAAGCAGGGGAUGGUCCAUGUCUUACAGGAGGGGGGGUGAUGACAACAUUUUUGGGUUCCCCCCACCACCCUUACCUCCUCCCCCACCUAUGCCCCAGGAGGUAAUUCCACUGGGGAUGCACCAGUGACACCAGAGGGACACCAUGGGUCACCCCUUGAAGAGACUGAGGGGGUCGCAGUGGCUCCUGGAGUCCCUCCAAAAUGACAACUGGGGGACCCAGGAUGCUGCCGGAACAAUUUGGGGAGUGGGUUCUCCUUUGGGGGGGGGGGGGAAGGCAUGCAGGCU